UGAUAUUAGUACAUGACUUCUUUUUCAACUUUUAAAACUAUAGUUGUAGCUUUUUUAUGUUUUAUUUUUUAUUUAUUUUUUUUUUAGUUUUUAGACUUUUUCUGUUUUUUUUUUCAUCUAUACAACUUUUUCUUUUUCAAAUAUUAUUCUUACCUUUUCUUUUUUUUAUUUGUUCUUUUUGAAUACUUACAUCAAUUCAUUUA
This 203-nucleotide long non-coding RNA is filed under the name Vigna radiata. Its description in RNAcentral is "long non-coding RNA (VRAD_LNC018467)". Lineage: Eukaryota; Viridiplantae; Streptophyta; Magnoliopsida; Fabales; Fabaceae. The record is from RNAcentral.